Small nuclear RNA from Scylla paramamosain (green mud crab), 103 nucleotides. Lineage: Eukaryota; Metazoa; Arthropoda; Malacostraca; Decapoda; Portunidae. The record is from RefSeq and is a predicted model, not a curated record.
GUUUGGCAAUACACAUACUAUAAAGUUGGAAUGAUACAGAGAAGACUCACCAAGCCUUUUGCACAAGGAUGACAUGCAAAAUCAUGAAGCAUUCCAUAACAUC